Molecule: ribosomal RNA, 462 nt
Filed under: uncultured bacterium
Lineage: Bacteria
Description: partial 16S ribosomal RNA
Rfam family: Bacterial small subunit ribosomal RNA
Source: RNAcentral
GACGAACGCUGGCGGCGUGCUUAACACAUGCAAGUCGAGCGGAAAGGCCCUUCGGGGUACUCGAGCGGCGAACGGGUGAGUAACACGUGAGUAACCUGCCCCAGACUUUGGGAUAACCCUCGGAAACGGGGGCUAAUACCGGAUACGACACAGCUUUGCAUGGGGUCUGUGUGGAAAGUUUUUCGGUUUGGGUUGGGCUCGCUGCCUAUCAGCUCGUUGGUGGGGUGAUGGCCUACCAAGGCGCCGGCGGGUAGCCGGCCUGGGAGGGCGACCGGCCACACUGGGACUGAGACACGGCCCAGACUGCUACGGGAGGCAACAGUGGAGAGUAUUGCACAAUGGGCGGAAGCGUGAUGCAGCGACGCCGCGUGAGGGAUGACGGCCUUCGGGUGGUAAACCUCUUUCAGCAGGGACGAAGCGUAAGUGACGGUACCUGCAGAAGAAGCGCCGGCCAACUACGUG